RNAcentral lists this ribosomal RNA (490 nucleotides) under uncultured bacterium. RNAcentral describes it as "partial 16S ribosomal RNA". It matches the Rfam family "Bacterial small subunit ribosomal RNA", at positions 30 to 507 of the family's 1533-position model. The record is from RNAcentral.
AUUGAACGCUGGCGGCAGGCCUAACACAUGCAAGUCGAACGGUAACAGGAAGCAGCUUGCUGCUUUGCUGACGAGUGGCGGACGGGUGAGUAAUGUCUGGGAAACUGCCUGAUGGAGGGGGAUAACUACUGGAAACGGUAGCUAAUACCGCAUAACGUCGCAAGACCAAAGAGGGGGACCUUCGGGCCUCUUGCCAUCGUAUGUGCCCAGAUGGGAUUAGCUUGUUGGUGGGGUAACGGCUCACCAAGGCGACGAUCCCUAGCUGGUCUGAGAGGAUGACCAGCCACACUGGAACUGAGACACGGUCCAGACUACUAAGGGAGGCAGCAGUGGGGAAUAUUGCACAAUGGGCGCAAGCCUGAUGCAGCCAUGCCGCGUGUAUGAAGAAGGCCUUCGGGUUGUAAAGUACUUUCAGCGGGGAGGAAGGGAGUAAAGUUAAUACCUUUACUCAUUGACGUUACCCGCAGAAGAAGCACCGGCUAACUCCGUG